GAGAACACAUGUGUUCCAAGACCAGUAACCAUUGAUGACAGUCAGGGGGAGAAGAAAAAUCAGUUGGAAAAUUGAAACCAAUCUAUCUAGCUAGCUAAGUUACCCACCGAAGUUGUCAAAUGGAUACCCUACCUCUGCCUGUGGUGUUGGAAGAGGCUGCAUUGGGAAGAGGAUGCAUCAACACCCUGGAAAGAUGUUUGCGGUGCACUUACUCAUAACACUUGUUUGAGUGAUAAAUGAAUGUAUUGUCUUCAAGCUUGAUAAGAAGCCAUCAGUUACAAGGCAUAAAGACAGAUUGAGGCCUUCAAUCAAACUGAGGACAGAGAAAUGUGCACCAGGUCAAAGCUUUUUGCAUGAAUGGCUUUGAGAUUGUGUGCAUUUAAGAAGCUUUGGACGAAGGACUUCCACAGGGCUGCCAUCUCUAAAGUUCACUCAAAAAGGCAAUAGUUCUGAACUGGGUUUGCUUUUGUUGUUUUAAUUAUUUCAAUUUUGUUAAUUCUCUUUUAAACAUCCAUUGGUUCAAAGCUCAUUGACCAGUUAUCACUUGGCUCUAAAUUCUGUAGUUGCCACUUUAAACAUAAGGUAAACAUCCCCAUAGCGUUCACAUUUAUCUCAUGUAAAUGUUGAAUCUACAAUAGAUAUUAAAUAAACUAUUUAUUUGGGAAAUAUUCAGUCUUUGCUCUUUUCUUCAUUAGCAUGCUGAUUUCAAGUUGUAUUGGAUUUUUUUUGUAUCUGUUAUGACAUUGAAUACACAUUGUUUGCAUAUUUAGUACAUUUAGUUAAGUUUUCUAUUUAAAGUUAUGUGAUUUGGUUUAUGUAGAUACGACAUUUCAAUGUUAACCCUCCUGUUGUGUUCGUUUCAUGUUAAUUAAUUCUGUGUUCCCGGUCCAAAUUGACCGCCCCAUUACAGCUGAUUAUAAAUCUAUAAUAAUACAUAUAUUAUCACCUAAUCUUGUGUUAGAUCUUUUUAUCAACUUAAGUUCUUGUGAACAUUACAGGCUUUGAACUUCUGUUUGCUAUUUAUGGCCUGUAGGCCUCAUUGACCUGAGCUCAUACAACUUGUUUUUGUGUAAAAAAAAAAGCAUAAUGUAUGGAUUAUUUUGACUAUAACAAAUACAGAGAUGAAACAUAUUGUGCUAUUUAUCACAGACUAAAUUGUGUCAACGUUUAAGGACAUUCUCCUUCUCACCAGUGUCGUGAUCAAAUAUAUGAUCAAGAACCUCACAUACAGUAUAUCGUUUGGUCAUUGUGCUGCCACAGAA
This 1262-nucleotide long non-coding RNA is filed under the name Salmo salar (Atlantic salmon). Its description in RNAcentral is "lncRNA (ENSSSAG00000108590.1)". Lineage: Eukaryota; Metazoa; Chordata; Actinopteri; Salmoniformes; Salmonidae. The record is from RNAcentral.